CCUCCACAACAGUUUCCUUUGGUAUUUCUGAGACUGUUUCUUCAACUGUGAUAUUGAGUUCUUCAGUUGGCUUGAAAGGAGCUAAUGGUGCUGGCUGCGAAACUGUCUCUACCGUAGUCGUUUGCGUUACAAUUGACGACCACGAUUGAGUUGACGGUUGUGAAUCAACGAUUUCAAUAUCCUUGGAUUCAGUUACUUUUGGUUCCUCAACAACAAUCGGUUUCUCAACAACAGGUUCAGGUUCCUUUUGUUUCUUUUCCUUCUUCGACUUCUUCUUAGGCUCAACGACUUCCUUAACUUCCUCCACAACAGUUUCCUUUGGUAUUUCUGAG
Drosophila albomicans is the source of this 332-nucleotide long non-coding RNA. RefSeq lists it as uncharacterized. NCBI's taxonomy places the organism in Eukaryota, Metazoa, Arthropoda, Insecta, Diptera, Drosophilidae. The transcript is spliced from 4 exons. The record is from RefSeq and is a predicted model, not a curated record.